CACUACGGAGCAGGGGGUAUUUCGGAGAUUCUUCCACAGGCCAGAAGUCAGAACCCUCCAUUUCCGCCGCGCUCCGCCAUCCCCAUUUCACCUAUAGAGCCAAAAAGGUAAGUUGGAGUACCGAUCUUGGAAUUCAGGUAGCUAGCCGUUUAAACAACAGUUGAAGUAUUGUAAUUUUACCUCUCAUCAGAACCUGGUGGCAGGGCAGAGACAAUCCGACGGUUCGGCCAAACUCAAUAACUUUGAUCCAAAUCUUAUUUUCGUCUUUAAGGAGUUUAUUGAAUAUGCAUAAGUUAUUAAUUUAGAACUCAGUAACUUAAAAGAAGUAGAAUCUUCAAUCCAUAAGCUUCAAAUCCGGUCUCCGCUUCUCCCUGAUGGUUUUUUUUUGCUCUUUAUUUAUUUUACGCCUGCGAUAACUCCUCUUUGGUGAUUUUGGCAAUAUAUGAAGUUUAGACACAUAUCGUAUACCUGUUAUCAACAAAAUUAAGCAAUAACACUUCAAUUUAACCACUCUUUCUUGUCCAUGUACUAAGUUUGGUGUCUAGCAGAUAUGCAUUUAUCUCCUGUUUUACUUGAUAAUGUAUCUUCUUUUGGUUGUAACCCUCUUCUUGUUUGCAGCUUGUUUUACUAGCCAAAAAUGAUUCACUCUUGGUUCUUAUGGUUGAUUCUGGUUUAAUUUGGUACUUCAGAAUUUUAGUUUUGGUUGUUUUUGUAAUUACUAGAGAUGAAUAAAUAUGCUUCGAUAAGCUUGACAAUAUGUUAGGCUCCGCAAGGGGGUGGGGAGUAAACUAGAGUAAUCAAAUUUGUUCUAUUUUGGUCAAUAGUGCAUUGUGUUAGUUCAUUCUUUACCAGUGUUGGCUGAUAAAGUGCAACGAUAUUUUGUUGUUUUUGAAUGGUCCAUACUGUCGAAGGUAUAAUUAAAUAAAUAAAAGUGUUUUCUGUCUAACAAUUAGGCUUUUAGAUGAAAUAGUCACACAUCUCCACAUGGUAUCAGAGUAGGCACAAAUUGUUCGUAUAAAUCAUGGACAGAAUUAUGAUAUCUUUCACUUGCACAUAUAUAUGUUUGUCAUUGAUUUGUUGUGGUGCCGAAUGCCAUUUACAGGUUUUAACGAUGGGUAUUUUAGUUACUAGGUUGAGUCUGUUUGGUGUAUCCAAUUGUAGUGGUUCAUUUAUAUAUUGUUGGCAGAUCCCACUGGAACAAUGUAGACUAUGUAGUUGUACAUAUGUAGAAUCCAAUGAUGAAUGCUUAUAUUGCUGGUGCCAAACGACACUCCACCCAAAGUUGGAUGUUUGAUUUGAAAUUGGUUUAUGCGGAUUCAUCUUUUCCCCCUUGUUUUCUUAUUCAAAGUAUACAGUUCAACUUUGGAGCGUUUGAUCCUGGAGUACAGGUUAGUUGGCUUACAAGUGCAUAGUCCCUUCAUUCGUUUUUUCUUUAUUUUUUUCUUUCUUGAUAAGUUGCAUAGUAUUUUCACCUCUUCAUAAAAACAAAAAAAGAAAACAUAGUCUUUUCAUUCUUGUAUAUCUGAUUUCAAAGACGUCAAUCCUUCCUCUCUCUCUAGUUAUUUUAAGGUGUAACGGCUGAAGUUAGAACUGAAGUCACUCUAAUAGGAUAUGCACAUUGAUGCUUGAGGAGAUCAAAUUUUUUUGAGUUUCGCCUCUGGUUUAAUUGGAGCUGGGGAAGAAUGCAUUAUGAAAAAUCUUCAAGUCCAAUUUGAUCGACAAAAUGAUCUUGUGGGUUAGUAAUUACAGUGGUCAUGGAAUUGAUUUUCAAUAUUGACUAUCAUUCAUUGUGCUGCUAAAGGUCCAUGAAAAGACGACCCUUUAACCACCUGAAUGGAUCGUAUCAAUGUAAUAUCUAUGAUCUCUGUAUUCAUUGUUGCCAUCUUGUCCGAGAGUGCAAUUUUGUCUAAAAUCUGGCCAGUGAAGAACUGAUUUAGAUCAUCCUCCUCUGAGACAGGCUUCUGUUUUGGAAAAAACCAAAUAUUGGAAUUGUUAAACUUGGCCCAAGUAUAACAUUUAAAAUGAGCAUGCUGCAGGUAUCCAUACCCAUUUUGGCCU
Nicotiana tabacum (common tobacco) is the source of this 2058-nucleotide non-coding RNA. Lineage: Eukaryota; Viridiplantae; Streptophyta; Magnoliopsida; Solanales; Solanaceae. The record is from RefSeq and is a predicted model, not a curated record.